Molecule: transfer RNA, 70 nt
Filed under: Escherichia coli
Lineage: Bacteria; Pseudomonadati; Pseudomonadota; Gammaproteobacteria; Enterobacterales; Enterobacteriaceae
Description: tRNA-Val
Source: RNAcentral
GGUGAUUAGCUCAGCUGGGAGAGCACCUCCCUUACAAGGAGGGGGUCGGCGGUUCGACGCGGUGAACAGC